RNAcentral lists this ribosomal RNA (702 nucleotides) under uncultured bacterium. RNAcentral describes it as "bacterial SSU rRNA". It matches the Rfam family "Bacterial small subunit ribosomal RNA", at positions 69 to 747 of the family's 1533-position model. The record is from RNAcentral.
CUUUUUCUUUACCGGAGCUUGCUCCACCGAAAGAAAAAGAGUGGCGAACGGGUGAGUAACACGUGGGUAACCUGCCCAUCAGAAGGGGAUAACACUUGGAAACAGGUGCUAAUACCGUAUAACACUAUUUUCCGCAUGGAAGAAAGUUGAAAGGCGCUUUUGCGUCACUGAUGGAUGGACCCGCGGUGCAUUAGCUAGUUGGUGAGGUAACGGCUCACCAAGGCAACGAUGCAUAGCCGACCUGAGAGGGUGAUCGGCCACACUGGGACUGAGACACGGCCCAGACUCCUACGGGAGGCAGCAGUAGGGAAUCUUCGGCAAUGGACGAAAGUCUGACCGAGCAACGCCGCGUGAGUGAAGAAGGUUUUCGGAUCGUAAAACUCUGUUGUUAGAGAAGAACAAGGAUGAGAGUAAAAUGUUCAUCCCUUGACGGUAUCUAACCAGAAAGCCACGGCUAACUACGUGCCAGCAGCCGCGGUAAUACGUAGGUGGCAAGCGUUGUCCGGAUUUAUUGGGCGUAAAGCGAGCGCAGGCGGUUUCUUAAGUCUGAUGUGAAAGCCCCCGGCUCAACCGGGGAGGGUCAUUGGAAACUGGGAGACUUGAGUGCAGAAGAGGAGAGUGGAAUUCCAUGUGUGGCGGUGAAAUGCGUAGAUAUAUGGAGGAACCCAGUGGCGAAGCGGCUCUCUGGUCUGUACUGACGCU